This 473-nucleotide ribosomal RNA is filed under the name uncultured bacterium. RNAcentral describes it as "partial 16S ribosomal RNA". It matches the Rfam family "Bacterial small subunit ribosomal RNA", at positions 29 to 507 of the family's 1533-position model. The record is from RNAcentral.
AUGAACGCUAGCGGCAGGCCUAACACAUGCAAGUCGAGGGAGGAGCUUUCGGGCUUCGACCGGCGUACGGGUGCGUAACGCGUAUACAAUCUGCCUUUCACAUAGGGAUAGCCCGAAGAAAUUUGGAUUAAUACCUAAUGGUAUAUAGAGGUGGCAUCACCUUUAUAUUAAAGCUGAGGCGGUGAAAGAUGAGUAUGCGUUCUAUUAGCUAGUUGGAGAGGUAACGGCUCCCCAAGGCGACGAUAGAUAGGGGUUCUGAGAGGGAUAUCCCCCACACUGGUACUGAGAUACGGACCAGACUCCUACGGGAGGCAGCAGUGAGGAAUAUUGGACAAUGGUCGGAAGACUGAUCCAGCCAUGCCGCGUGCAGGAAGACGGCCUUAUGGGUUGUAAACUGCUUUUGCAGGGGAAGAAUAAGGACUACGCGUAGUUUGAUGACGGUACUCUGCGAAUAAGCAUCGGCUAACUCCGUG